RNAcentral lists this ribosomal RNA (923 nucleotides) under uncultured bacterium. Its description in RNAcentral is "bacterial SSU rRNA". It matches the Rfam family "Bacterial small subunit ribosomal RNA", at positions 8 to 916 of the family's 1533-position model. The record is from RNAcentral.
AGAGUUUGAUCCUGGCUCAGACGAACGCUGCGGCGUGCCUAAUACAUGCAAGUAGAACGCUGAAGAAAGGAGCUUGCUUCUUUUGGAUGAGUUGCGAACGGGUGAGUAACGCGUAGGUAACCUGCCUUGUAGCGGGGGAUAACUAUUGGAAACGAUAGCUAAUACCGCAUAACAGCUUUUGACACAUGUUAGAAGCUUGAAAGAUGCAAUUGCAUCACUACGAGAUGGACUGCGUUGUAUUAGCUAGUAGGUAGGGUAACGGCCUACCUAGGCGACGAUACAUAGCCGACCUGAGAGGGUGAUCGGCCACACUGGGACUGAGACACGGCCCAGACUCCUACGGGAGGCAGCAGUAGGGAAUCUUCGGCAAUGGGGGCAACCCUGACCGAGCAACGCCGCGUGAGUGAAGAAGGUUUUCGGAUCGUAAAGCUCUGUUGUAAGAGAAGAACGUGUGUGAGAGUGGAAAGUUCACACAGUGACGGUAACUUACCAGAAAGGGACGGCUAACUACGUGCCAGCAGCCGCGGUAAUACGUAGGUCCCGAGCGUUGUCCGGAUUUAUUGGGCGUAAAGCGAGCGCAGGCGGUUUAAUAAGUCUGAAGUUAAAGGCAGUGGCUUAACCAUUGUUCGCUUUGGAAACUGUUAAACUUGAGUGCAGAAGGGGAGAGUGGAAUUCCAUGUGUAGCGGUGAAAUGCGUAGAUAUAUGGAGGAACACCGGUGGCGAAAGCGGCUCUCUGGUCUGUAACUGACGCUGAGGCUCGAAAGCGUGGGGAGCAAACAGGAUUAGAUACCCUGGUAGUCCACGCCGUAAACGAUGAGUGCUAGGUGUUAGGCCCUUUCCGGGGCUUAGUGCCGCAGCUAACGCAUUAAGCACUCCGCCUGGGGAGUACGACCGCAAGGUUGAAACUCAAAGGAAUUGACGG